Molecule: microRNA precursor, 95 nt
Filed under: Branchiostoma floridae (Florida lancelet)
Lineage: Eukaryota; Metazoa; Chordata; Leptocardii; Amphioxiformes; Branchiostomatidae
Description: mir-2060 microRNA precursor family
Rfam family: mir-2060 microRNA precursor family
Source: Rfam by way of RNAcentral
GUUUACCCGUUUGUGAAUGAUGUUCAGCACCAAGUACAGGUAUUUUUUACGUAAGAGUGGAUGGUGUUCAGCACCAGGGACAGGUAUGUUUACCU